RNAcentral lists this non-coding RNA (69 nucleotides) under Nitratidesulfovibrio vulgaris str. Hildenborough. Lineage: Bacteria; Pseudomonadati; Thermodesulfobacteriota; Desulfovibrionia; Desulfovibrionales; Desulfovibrionaceae. The record is from RNAcentral.
UAGCGAAACCGCCCCCGGUGCGGGGCGGUCGUCGGAGCGUGGCGGCUCCGGCCUGACGAGCAGCCGAAA